This 468-nucleotide ribosomal RNA is filed under the name uncultured bacterium. RNAcentral describes it as "partial 16S ribosomal RNA". It matches the Rfam family "Bacterial small subunit ribosomal RNA", at positions 28 to 507 of the family's 1533-position model. The record is from RNAcentral.
GACGAACGCUGGCGGCGUGCUUAACACAUGCAAGUCGAACGGAAAGGCCCUGCUUUUGUGGGGUGCUCGAGUGGCGAAAGGGUGAGUAAAAAGGGAGUAACCUGCCCUUUACUUUGGGGUAACUUCAGGAAACUGGGGCUAAUACCGGAUAUGAGCUCCUGUUGCAUGGGGGGGGUUGGAAAGUUUGGGCGGUUGGGGAUGGACUCGCGGCUUAUCAGCUUGUUGGUGGGGUAGUGGCUUACCAAGGCUUUGACGGGUGGCCGGCCUGAGAGGGUGACCGGCCACAUUGGGACUGAGAUACGGCCCAGACUCCUACGGGAGGCAGCAGUGGGGAAUAUUGCACAAUGGGCGGAAGCCUGAUGCAGCAACGCCGCGUGCGGGAUGACGGCCUUCGGGUUGUAAACCGCUUUCGCCUGUGACGAAGCGUGAGUGACGGUAAUGGGUAAAGAAGCACCGGCUAACUACGUG